CUGGCCCGGAGCGAGCGGAGAAGAGGCGCUCCCGGUGAAAAUGUACAGCCCAGAACGACUAACCCUCUCCACCGGACGAUCCCUGCAGCAUAAAUGGCCUGGACCAGCUCACCCUUCCUUCCCACUGAUGGGAGUGCCUGUAUUCAGGAGGAGGACUCUAGACGUAGAACCAAAUCCAAGCCAACAAGAGGUGUCAGCUUUUCAGAUCCAGAAAGCUCACAAGAAGGGGGCAAUACUAGUAGGAACAGAAAUACAGCUACUGAAAAUUCGGCAACCAGCUCUAAUACAACAACUCCUCAAGGGGGCACUCUGUCAAAAAACUGGCAAAGACAAAAGAAAAGAGCCCAGGCACACGAAGAGCGGGCAGAAGACAUAGAAGAAAGACGCUAUCCCCUCAGGUCCCUCUUGACCCCAAGAGGUGCCCAGUAACGAUUCUAUCGGCAUGUGUGCUUUCGGAAGCCCAAAUCAAACUUCUCAGCAAAGGACUUAACUUUGUACCAUCCUUGUCUACGUCUUUUCUUGAACAUCAAGUAUUAUUAUCCAUUGUCCAUCACCUCCUUGAGAAGACUCAAGAACAGAACAAGAUGUGAACAUCGCACCGGAUAGGUGGUAACCACUGGCAACAGUUGUAUGGCCAAACGAAGCAAAGCUCGACACUUAUCCAGGAGACUGGCUAUACCGGAGAUGAAAAACAGGGAGAAAUCUGCUCCCAACAUCCCCAGUAAUUUUUGUAAUUUUCAUACUUUUUUAACCAGUUAAACCACCCACCGGUGUGCGAUGACACGUCUCCCGAUACCCCUAUUGUAUUUCCCAUGUUUUUCUAGCUUUUCCGGGUUUUCCACAUUGUUUCUUGUAUUUUAGCAUAAGGUGACGUAUCAGGUCAUGUGACCUGGCGUACAUGUAUUUCAACUUGCGUGAUUCGUAUAACUCGUUAGUCUACGAUUAAGCACUUUUGUGUGAAACGCGUCAGCCGUUAUCCUCUGUCAAGUGUCUUCUGUGUAUUUUUCUAAAUAAAGAACAAGCUUUU
Molecule: long non-coding RNA, 1027 nt
Organism: Hyla sarda
Lineage: Eukaryota; Metazoa; Chordata; Amphibia; Anura; Hylidae
Exons: 3
Source: RefSeq, a predicted model, not a curated record